This 253-nucleotide ribosomal RNA is filed under the name uncultured bacterium. Its description in RNAcentral is "partial 16S ribosomal RNA". It matches the Rfam family "Bacterial small subunit ribosomal RNA", at positions 524 to 776 of the family's 1533-position model. The record is from RNAcentral.
UACGAAAGGGGCUAGCGUUGUUCGGAAUUACUGGGCGUAAAGCGCACGUAGGCGGCCUUGUAAGUUGGGGGUGAAAUCCCGGGGCUCAACUCCGGAACUGCCUCCAAUACUGGAAAGCUCGAGGAUGCGAGAGGAUAGUGGAAUUCCGAGUGUAGAGGUGAAAUUCGUAGAUAUUCGGAGGAACACCAGUGGCGAAGGCGACUGGCUGGCGCUUUUCUGACGCUGAGGUGCGAAAGCGUGGGGAGCAAACAGG